This 253-nucleotide ribosomal RNA is filed under the name uncultured bacterium. Its description in RNAcentral is "partial 16S ribosomal RNA". It matches the Rfam family "Bacterial small subunit ribosomal RNA", at positions 524 to 776 of the family's 1533-position model. The record is from RNAcentral.
UACGGAGGGUGCAAGCGUUGUCCGGAUUCAUUGGGUUUAAAGGGCGCGCAGGCGGGCGAUUACGGCAGGGGUGAAAGACGGUUGCUCAACAAUCGCAGUGCCUUUGAUACUGGUUGUCUUGGGUGACCUUGAGGUAGGCGGAAUGGGUGGUGUAGCGGUGAAAUGCAUAGAUACCACCCAGAACUCCGAUUGCGAAGGCAGCCUACUGGAGGUUCACCGACGCUCAGGCACGAAAGCGUGGGGAUCAAACAGG